GAUGAAGAACGUAGCGAAAUGCGAUAAGUAAUGUGAAUUGCAGAAUUCAGUGAAUCAUCGAAUCUUUGAACGCACAUUGCGCCCCCUGGUAUUCCGGGGGGCAUGCCUGUUCGAGCGUCAUUUCACCACUCAAGCCUCGCUUGGUAUUGGGCAACGCGGUCCGCCGCGUGCCUCAAAUCGACCGGCUGGGUCUUCUGUCACCUAAGCGUUGUGGAAACUUUCGCUAAAGGGUGUUCGGGAGGCUACGCCGUAAAACAACCCCAUUUCUAAGGUUGACCUCGGAUCAGGUAGGGAUACCCGCUGAACUUAAGCAUAUCAAUAAGCGGAGGA
RNAcentral lists this unclassified non-coding RNA (330 nucleotides) under soil metagenome. Its description in RNAcentral is "partial contains 5.8S ribosomal RNA, internal transcribed spacer 2, and large subunit ribosomal RNA". The stretch from base 1 to 120 matches the Rfam family "5.8S ribosomal RNA", at positions 35 to 154 of the family's 154-position model. The record is from RNAcentral.